Molecule: ribosomal RNA, 686 nt
Filed under: Corynebacterium mycetoides
Lineage: Bacteria; Bacillati; Actinomycetota; Actinomycetes; Mycobacteriales; Corynebacteriaceae
Description: bacterial SSU rRNA
Rfam family: Bacterial small subunit ribosomal RNA
Source: RNAcentral
GAAAGGCCGAAGCUUGCUUUGGUACUCGAGUGGCGAACGGGUGAGUAACACGUGGGUGAUCUGCCCUGUACUUCGGGAUAAGCUUGGGAAACUGGGUCUAAUACCGGAUAGGAGCUGCAUGUUGGUGUGUGGUUGGAAAGCUUUUGCGGUAUGGGAUGAGCUCGCGGCCUAUCAGCUUGUUGGUGGGGUAAUGGCCUACCAAGGCGUCGACGGGUAGCCGGCCUGAGAGGGUGUGCGGCCACAUUGGGACUGAGAUACGGCCCAGACUCCUACGGGAGGCAGCAGUGGGGAAUAUUGCACAAUGGGCGCAAGCCUGAUGCAGCGACGCCGCGUGGGGGAUGACGGCCUUCGGGUUGUAAACUCCUUUCGCCAGGGACGAAGCGCAAGUGACGGUACCUGGAUAAGAAGCACCGGCUAACUACGUGCCAGCAGCCGCGGUAAUACGUAGGGUGCGAGCGUUGUCCGGAAUUACUGGGCGUAAAGAGCUCGUAGGUGGUUUGUCGCGUCGUUUGUGUAAGUCCACGGCUUAACUGUGGGACUGCAGGCGAUACGGGCAUAACUUGAGUGCUGUAGGGGAGACUGGAAUUCCUGGUGUAGCGGUGAAAUGCGCAGAUAUCACGAGGAACACCGAUGGCGAAAGCAGGUCUCUGGGCAGUAACUGACGCUGAGGAGCGAAAGCAUGGGUU